RNAcentral lists this ribosomal RNA (252 nucleotides) under uncultured bacterium. Its description in RNAcentral is "partial 16S ribosomal RNA". It matches the Rfam family "Bacterial small subunit ribosomal RNA", at positions 524 to 776 of the family's 1533-position model. The record is from RNAcentral.
UACGUAGGGGGCAAGCGUUGUCCGGAAUUAUUGGGCGUAAAGCGCGCGCAGGCGGUCAUUUAAGUCUGGUGUAUAAUCCCAGGGCUCAACCUUGGGUCGCACUGGAAACUGGAUGACUUGAGUGCAGAAGAGGAGAGUGGAAUUCCACGUGUAGCGGUGAAAUGCGUAGAGAUGUGGAGGAACACCAGUGGCGAAGGCGACUCUCUGGGCUGUAACUGACGCUGAGGCGCGAAAGCGUGGGGAGCAAACAGG